CACGUCCCUGUAUAAGCUCCUCUGGGCAGGGCCCACGUGGUGCCAUUCUUCCCGGGUGAAGUCCACAGCCACAUCUUUGAAUGUCACGGACUCCUGUGGGAUCACAGGCCUGCUCAGAUUCAAACAUGGGACUAUAGAAACGACCGAAAAAGGAUAAAAAACGACAGCCUUUCCCUCCUCGUCCUCUUUAUCUCCCCACGUGAUCCUUCUCAACAGUUGGUGUGUAUACUUGGAAGUCCCAUGUCCAUGUUUUACUCACGUACUGCAGGCACACUUCAUGAAACAUCACACAUAUUGCUCUGCAAAUUGCUUCUAUGUAUUUACUAUUUUUUU
Molecule: long non-coding RNA, 333 nt
Organism: Alexandromys fortis (reed vole)
Lineage: Eukaryota; Metazoa; Chordata; Mammalia; Rodentia; Cricetidae
Exons: 2
Source: RefSeq, a predicted model, not a curated record